CUACACGGAGGUAUACGUCCUGAACCCCACAGAGGUUUAAACAGUGGUGUAGUAGGAGCUACACGGAGGUAUACGUCCUGAACCCCACAGAGGUUUAAACAGUGGUGUAGUAGGAGCUACACGGAGGUAUACGUCCUGAACCCCACAGAGGUUUAAACAGUGGUGUAGUAGGAGCAACACGGAGGUAUACGUCCUGAACCCCACAGAGGUUUAAUUAUGUGGUACAAUAGAGAAAGUAGCCUACACAAUCGCAAAGCACGUAAAAUAUAUUCACACGUUUGCUGCACACAGCCAAAUUUCAGCAGAAUUUCAUGGCAGUAAGAGCUGGUUGUCCCAUGGAGCAGCUCACAGCUGGUAGGUAGGACUUGCCUAGUUAAAUAAAGGUUAAAUGAAUCAAAUCAAAUGACAAUGGGUAAGCAAACCAGGUAUUGAAACCGUUUGGUCCAAAGUCUUGGUUGAAUCUUUGCAGUGUUCAAUUCAGUCAUCAUGUGCUGUUUUGAAUGAACAUUUCCAAAUGCUUUCCCAAGGAAAACGUCCUAAUUAAAGCUGCAAUAUGUAACUUUGGGCGACCCAACAAGUUCACAUUGACAUAUCUUUAACUCACAUUUCUUUCUCAUUGAAAGCAAGUCUAAUAAGUGGUAGAUAUGUUCUAUGUGCACUAUUUCUAUGCUUCCCAUUCUUAAGUUUAGUUUUUAUUUUGUUUUGUACACCAGUUUCAGAUGGCUGAAAAUACAAUAUUUUUGGUUAUGGAAAAUAUAUUGCAGAGGUUUAGAUGGUACAAAGAGACUCUAUACAAUUACUUAGUCACAUAAACUGAAAUUAACAGAAAUUAGGCGAACUUAGAAUUUUAGCAACCAGGAAAUGUCGGAGAUAUUUCUGUAUAGUGCAUCUUUAAAUGUUGACCGCAAGUUAGGCCUACGUGAUAUAAUUAUGAUUUGUAUCAAUCUGGAGGGCAUUUCUUUUGAAAACUCUUCCAUCAC
This 980-nucleotide long non-coding RNA is filed under the name Salmo salar (Atlantic salmon). RNAcentral describes it as "lncRNA (ENSSSAG00000118722.1)". Lineage: Eukaryota; Metazoa; Chordata; Actinopteri; Salmoniformes; Salmonidae. The record is from RNAcentral.